AAAACAUUUCUUUUUGAAAUUACAAAAAGUAAACCCUGCUCACUGAUCCUUAAAUAGCCGCAGAAUUUUUACUGUGCUAAGGUAGCAUAAUAAUUUGCCUUUUAAUUAAAGGCUAGAAUGAAGGGGAUUACAAAGAAAAUACUGUCUCAUAAAUUUACUUUAAAAUUUCCCGUAUAGUAAAAACGCUAUUACAAAUAAAUAGGACGACAAGACCCUAACAAACUUAACUAAAGUUAAACUGGGGCGGUAAAAAAAAACAAAAUCUUUUAAUUUAACUAGCUAAUUAAAAUACCAAGUUACUGUAGGGAUAACAGCAUUAUUUUUUUUUAGAGCUCAUAUCAGAAAAAAAGAUUGUGACCUCGAUGUUGAAUUAAAGUAUCUAAUAAAUGCAAAAAUUUAUAAAGUAAGUCUGUUCGACUUUUAAAACUUUACAUGAUCU
This 439-nucleotide ribosomal RNA is filed under the name Calommata hangzhica. Its description in RNAcentral is "partial 16S ribosomal RNA". It matches the Rfam family "Bacterial large subunit ribosomal RNA", at positions 1810 to 2606 of the family's 2925-position model. Lineage: Eukaryota; Metazoa; Arthropoda; Arachnida; Araneae; Atypidae. The record is from RNAcentral.